GGACGCAAUGAGGCGGAGGCCCGGGAGAAGGCAGCCAAGGAGUUCGGAGUGUCCCCUGACAAGAUCAGUCUCCAGCAAGGCAAGGCGGGGCUUUGAGGGUCUGGAGGGAGUUGUGGGGGGCAGAGCUCCACUCCCUCUGACCUCUGACCUUUGGCCUCUCUCAGAUGAGGAUGUAUUGGAUACCUGGUUCUCCUCCGGCCUCUUCCCCUUAUCCAUUUUGGGCUGGCCCAACCAGGUGUGUUCCUGGGGCCGGGGCUUGGCGGGACAGGGGACUGGAGGGUGGGUGUUGGCUCCCCUUCACACCCUGGUCUGCCCUCAGUCAGAAGACCUGAGUGUGUUCUACCCUGGGACACUGCUGGAGACCGGUCACGACAUCCUCUUCUUCUGGGUGGCCCGGAUGGUCAUGCUGGGCCUGAAGCUCACGGGCAGGCUGCCCUUUAGAGAGGUCUACCUCCAUGCCAUCGUGCGAGAUGCUCACGGCCGGAAGAUGAGCAAGUCUCUAGGCAAUGUCAUCGAUCCCCUGGACGUCAUCUAUGGAAUCUCCCUGCAGGUGGGCUGGGUGCUGGGCCAGCCAGGAAGGGCCGUGGGGCUGUGGUCACAGCCACCUGACUGCUCCCACUCCACCCUCAGGGCCUCCACGACCAGCUGCUGAACAGCAACCUGGAUCCCAGCGAGGUGGAGAAGGCCAAAGA
Molecule: small RNA, 692 nt
Filed under: Pan troglodytes (chimpanzee)
Lineage: Eukaryota; Metazoa; Chordata; Mammalia; Primates; Hominidae
Description: retained intron
Source: RNAcentral